RNAcentral lists this ribosomal RNA (491 nucleotides) under uncultured bacterium. Its description in RNAcentral is "partial 16S ribosomal RNA". It matches the Rfam family "Bacterial small subunit ribosomal RNA", at positions 30 to 507 of the family's 1533-position model. The record is from RNAcentral.
AUUGAACGCUGGCGGCAGGCUUAACACAUGCAAGUCGAGCGGUAACAGAGAGAAGCUUGCUUCUCUGCUGACGAGCGGCGGACGGGUGAGUAAUGCCUAGGAAUCUGCCUAGUAGUGGGGGAUAACUUGCCGAAAGGUAAGCUAAUACCGCAUACGUCCUACGGGAGAAAGGAGGGGACCUUCGGGCCUUUCGCUAUUAGAUGAGCCUAGGUCGGAUUAGUUAGUUGGUGAGGUAAUGGCUCACCAAGACCGCGAUCCGUAACUGGUCUGAGAGGAUGAACAGUCACACUGGAACUGGGACACGGUCCAGACUCCUACGGGAGGCAACAGUGGGGGAUAUUUGACAAUGGGGGGGAACCCUGAUCCAGCCAUGCCGCGUGUGUGAAGAAGGUCUUAGGAUUGAAAAGCACUUUUAGUUGGGAGGAAGAGCAGUUAACUAAUAUUUGACUGUUUUGACGUUACCGACAGAAUAAGCACCGGCUAACUUCGUG